GUUUACAGGUAGCAAGUUCAGACAGCCACCAGUUCGCCCCAUUGUGAACACGGAGACCUCUCUGGACUCACAAUUAAAGGCUACAUAAUGCAUUCCACUACAAGUGACGAAAUCCAGCGCCCAGAAUAACAAGCAAGACAACUUUUUAAAGUGACUCUUGUUGACCAGUGUCUCCUGUGCAUUUGUUUGGUAAGCUUCUGGUGGAUUUUUCAAGAGGCUAGUAUGAAUUCUUCUGAAUUAUUCUCAAGGAAGAGUGACUCUUCCUGAUGGCAAAGCAGAUACCCUAGCAUACACACCAGCAGGUGACUGCCAUGUUCCUCGAGUCAGUGUGACUCUGUUAAGGACGUUGAAGUUGUCCUUCUGCUCGAGUCCAGGGAGAGAAUGCUGAAGCUAGGUGAGUGAAAACUGCUCUCCGAUGAUCUUGGGUGUGAUGUCUUUGUCGGAAUCUGGCAGAAAGUUCAGAUGACUAAGUGACAUGGUGUCGCUGUGUACCGGGAAAUGAUGUUUGUCAUGGCUUUAGAAGGGUCGUGUUCAACACAUCCUUGCUUUUCUUCUGCUGUGGCUCUGGAUGUGGAGAGCCAGUGGUAAGCUGAGGGGAAUAUGAGUAUUGUGGGUGAAGAAAAUGGCAUUUGAAGUUUGCAUACCGUUUCAUUUUUAAACAAAAUGAACGAUUGAAAUGUUUCAG
RNAcentral lists this long non-coding RNA (685 nucleotides) under Marmota monax (woodchuck). Lineage: Eukaryota; Metazoa; Chordata; Mammalia; Rodentia; Sciuridae. The record is from RNAcentral.